This 305-nucleotide ribosomal RNA is filed under the name uncultured bacterium. RNAcentral's name for it is "bacterial SSU rRNA". It matches the Rfam family "Bacterial small subunit ribosomal RNA", at positions 336 to 657 of the family's 1533-position model. The record is from RNAcentral.
CUCCUACGGGGCGCAGCAGUCGGGAAUAUUGCGCAAUGGAGGAAACUCUGACGCAGUGACGCCGCGUAUAGGAAGAAGGUUUUCGGAUUGUAAACUAUUGUCGUUAGGGAAGAUAAAAGACUGUACCUAAGGAGGAAGCCCCGGCUAACUAUGUGCCAGCAGCCGCGGUAAUACAUAGGGGGCAAGCGUUAUCCGGAUUUACUGGGUGUAAAGGGAGCGUAGACGGCUGUGCAAGUCUGAAGUGAAAGCCCGUGGCUCAACCGCGGAACUGCUUUGGAAACUGUAUAGCUUGAGUACUGGAGAGG